UUUUUUUUUUUUUUUUUGUAUCCAAGCAGACAACCUACGCUAGCAUCAGUCUUGUAACAGCUGCCGAUUCCUCAUUAAUGACAUCUUGGCUUGUUCUUCAACGAGUGAAAAAAAGAAAAAAGAGCCUAAAAUUCUUCAACUUUUAUGUUGUUCGAGUAUUACUACUACUAUCUAUGAUUUACUAUUUAAAAUAUCUUUGGUAUUGUUUAGCUUCUGAAUUGUUUAUCUUCGUAGUUGUGUUACCAUAUGGACUUGAGGUAGCUUGUGUGCCUUUUCAAGUCAUCGAGAUUAAUAUGCCUCGUAGAAUAGUUGCUUUGGAUUGUGAUCGAAAAGGUUCAGUGAUAUAGGUCGCAGAAAGCUAAAAGCAUGAAUGCAGGCAGAGCACAAACUGAAACUGGGUUCUUAUGCAAUUUACUGAGUAGGAAAACAGACAAAUUAACCAUUGACUGAUAUCAGCAACUGCGUUUAAAAAGUUAAUGGUUUUCCAUCACUGCGUCUGACCACCAAGAAAGUAUCAUUGAACGUACACGGUAACACAGACUCACAAUUUUCAGGUUCUGAUCUUGUCUCUUUUGCUCGUCUUUGCGAAACGUGAACAAUACAAAAACACAUAACUCGAAAAGGAAAAUUUUCUUGUGAAGUUUUUCCAGUCCAAUCCGGCAAAAGGAGAUGCUAGUAGCCUACUAUGCUCUUUAGUUUUGCUGUUAAAUAUGAUUCAACCUUGUAAUGAAGUGAACUGACCAGUAAAAAAAAAAAUCAUUAGUCAUGAGCUACAUUAGUCACUUUGUGACAGGACCAAAUGGACAGAAUUUUCUUCUGUUGGUUUGCACUUUGAAGGAGUCCUGAAAUCUAACAUUGACAAGUAAACUUAUCUCGGUAUAUUUUAAUCACUUGCCGACUAUGUUCCUUCCCCCCAAAGAAAAGCGCAAAAGAAAAAUGGUGAAGAUGCAUCAAACCUGUUCUUCCGUGUCAAAUUUUUCAUUUUAGCUUUAGCCAACGUUUUGCUCCAAAAGUCAAAAGAGCGCACCCAAAGAUACUUGUAGUAGGUAUAGAAUGCUAAAUGAUUGGAUCCAUCUCUCUCUCUCUCUAGUCUAUGUAUAAGCAAAUAUACUUAAACCUUUGAAACCCUAUCUUCAUAAAGCCUAGUCUGAGUUUGUGGGGUAUUUUCAGUGUUAAGAUGGUACUGCAGACAUUAGACAUUGUAAAGAAUGAAAUUCCAAUAGAGGAAGAAUCAGUAGUUAUAAGUGAAGAUACUAACGCUGGUUUAGUUCUUGUGGACAUCAUCAAUGGCUUCUGCACUGUCGGAGCUGGCAAUCUGGUACCUAUUGAUCAGUCCUUGUACUCCUUUAGACACUUCUCUUCUUCUGUUUUUUUUUUUUUCCGUUACCAGGAUUUUUUUUUUCACAAAAAAAGGAACUUCUCUUCGUUGUUCAGUGAUCUGUGUACAUAUCCAGAUUUCGGGGCUCAUAGUACUCAUUCAUAGUUGUACGUAUUCCUAUCUUGUUUGUGCGUGUUUUGUUCAGGCCCCAAGGGAGGCUAGCCGGCAGAUUUCUCAAAUGAUCGAUGAAUCAGCAAAGCUAGCUAGAGUCUUCUGUGAUAACAAGUGGCCAGUUCUGGCCUUUCUUGACUCGCACCAUCCUGACAGGCUCGAGCACCCGUAUCCCCCUCACUGCAUCAGCGGUACAGAUGAGUCCAAUUUGGUUCCUGGUAUGGUUACUGAAUCAAGACUGGUCAUGUAUAAUUUCCCUUUCUGUUUGAUACCAAUAUUCAAAACAUUAAAUCGAAGCUUAAUCUGAGAAAUACUACUGAAACAACUUCAAUUUCAAACUCGUUGGCCGUGGCCAUGAUGUCAUUUGCAUGUAUGUUUGUUUGCAGCUUUACGAUGGCUAGAGAAAGAACCAAAUGUAAUAAUCAGGCGUAAAGAUUGCUACGAUGGUUAUAUAGGCUCAUUUCAGGAAGAUGGUUCGAAUGUGUUCGUCGAUUGGGUUAAGAAAAACAACAUACAAGUUGUAAGUGUAAUAUCCCAAUUGAAAGUUUGGAAGGAUUUCUCAUCACCGUUUUGCUACUCAAGACAUAACUUAUCAAACAUGAUGAAUUUAAUCUGACUGAUAUAAUUUGUGCCCAGCUAUUGGUUGUAGGGAUAUGUACAGAUAUUUGCGUGCUGGAUUUUGUUUGCUCGACUUUAUCAGCUAAAACCCGAGGUCUUCUUACGCCUUUGGAGGAAGUGGUGGUGUACUCUCGGGGAUGCGCCACCUUUGACUUUCCAGCUUCCAUGGCCAAAAACGCCAAAGACGUGCUUGCUCAUCCUCAGGUAUUUUUACAAACGCAGUCUUUUAUUCAAAAGCAUACUCCAUAUGACCCUUCUCGGAUAACAAUUAUAGAUUCUUGAUAUUCUCACUCUAAAUUAUUCCUAAGAAUUUCAGCAGAUAUUGUUGAAUUUCUCGUCUCUUUGACACUUAUACCUGCCCCACUUAUGGUGCUUCCUAAGGAUUUUAUGCUGACCAAUGCGUUCCUUAGCAGCUUUUCUUACUACUCUAGAAAAUAUCCGUGAACGAACUUACCUCUUCAGCUCCUUACCUCUUCAGCUCCCGGAGCUUCCAAGGAAUAUAAGCUUGACCAUUUUCUUCCAUGGCAGGAGCUGAUGCACCACGUUGGCCUUUACAUGGCCAAGGGAAGGGGAGCCAAGAUAGCAAGAGAAGUGUCAAUUGGUGCAGUCAAGAAUGCGUGACUCACUACCGGCAACCCUUGUACUGCCUACCAAGGCGCCGCUACUCUUAAUUGCUUUUGUUUGGCUAUCAUUUAUACCACCCUUGUGCUACGCUCCUCGAAAAGCGUGUACGCUCAGAGACAGCGUGUGUUGCACCAUUUAAGCUUCUUGUCGGCUAUGAAUGAGAACCAUUUUCUUGUUGGAUAUUAACAAGACAUGCAUGCUAAUAACCAGCUCUUGUACCCUCGGAAAGUUCCAGAGUAUGGUCUGAUUUGAGCCAUUUAUGACUCGUUUUUCUGGGUUGGACGUACGAAUAAUGGCUUAGAAUAAAUCCUCCACCGUAAAAAGCCUAUUUCCACAAGGCCCUAGAUCUGCAAUCAUCUCAUACUGGAAAUCUCUCGAACCACACGAGAUCGUGUUUUGCAUUACAGAACCCAAGACCAAAUGAACAAAAAGGUGAGAAUGUCAAGUUAGUUUAACCUGAAAGAUGGUAGAUUGCAACAGCAUACAUUUUUUUAGCACUUGAAUGUCAUAAAGAUGAGGGAUAAACAUUAAAAUUGCACAUUCCUAUUUACUAAAACUCCAGCCAAAUUCCAUUUUCAAAUAGAUAUUCACAUCCUAUGUACAUUUCCGGCAUGGAAGCUAACCGAAAACCAGAGCGGCAACGCCCUAAGAAAUUGCCGCACCAGAAAAUUUGGGGACUCCUCGAACCUCUAGUUAAAAGUUCGGUAGUUAGUUUCAUGAUAUUUCUCUGUCUCAUAAGCGUCAGAUGUAUUCAUCCAAGUCUUGCCAAUUAGUUGAAACCAUCCAGCUUUCUUUCUGCAGUGAUACUCGAAGGACUUCAUAACAGUAAAGAUCAUCUAAACUGCAAAACAAAUAUAUAUAUAUAUAUAUAUAUAUAUAUAUAUAUAUAUAUAUAUAUACACACACACACACACAGAGAUAUAUUAAAAGUCUUCUUUGCAUCAUCUGUCAGUGGAACCCAUUGGCUAUCAAGUGCAUAUGUGGAAGUUACAAAAAAAAAAAAAAAAAACUCCUGUGAUGCUCAGUUGAAUGAACCUACCCAUCAGACUAGUAAUAAGACUGCAAAAGCAUGAACAGCGUCAAAUCUAUGUACAAGCAGACUUCACCGGUGCAGCCUCAGCCGAUUGAAAAACACCAAAAAAUGGAAUUCAGGGGCCCAAUACACGAACCCAACCACAGGCCCCCCUUUAAUGUACUGCAAGGAUUUGUUAAAGGAACAUUUCAUGAGUCCAACAGCUGAGGAAAGAUACAUUUUAUGGAAAGAUGGAAAAUAAAGCAAAUGCAACUGCAGAAGUUGAUAAGCAACGGGAACCUUUCCAUCCAAAAUGACAAGUUCACCAUCAACCCAUCGAGGGUUGCGAAACCCAGGCUCAGCCAGCCUGCCUUGUCCCCUAUAACGAGCAACCUACAUCAACAGUACAGGUACGAAUAACAUAAUACAUGUACAAUUAGAGUUUUUUUUUUAAAUAUUCUUUUGGGGUUAAGAUGCAAUAGAAAAUAAGAAUCGAUGCACCAUAUAAUCUGGUUACUAGUGUAUAAGUAUUGUACAAUUGAUGGAAAAGAAAAAUCAAGUAAAAGAAGAAAGAUAGUAAACAAAUUGAUUUUCUAAAAAGCAACAUACCACCCCAAAUUCUUCUGGAAUUAUCCCUUUGUGAGGGAGCUGAUAUCUGUUUCCAACUUUGGCACGGAAGGCUAUCUGCAACGAGUAUAUGAUAAACAGAAAAAUUAGGAUGCCACAAUUUUUUUCAACUAAAUAAAACACAAGCCUAGCAUGUUGAAUAAGUAAUGAAAAUCCACAAGCAAGUUAAGCAGCAAAUGAGUUUUACAUCACAGGGCAUCCUUGGCUGAUUAGAGCUCUUCCACAUGGGGGUGAGCAGGAUAGCCCAAAGCCCUCAUCACCAAAUAGACACACACAGUACACACACACAUACACACAGAGCUCAAAACCUGAGCCAAACAAUGUCAGACAGAUAACUGGUAUCAACAAUAGAAAAUUACCUGGCCAGCUGGCACAUAAGGAUCCCCCGUCAGUUUUACUGCCUCGACAUAUUCAUAGAACCCAACAUUGGGAGGCUCCUCCUUUCGGCCAUCUUCUUUCCACUGACCAAAUUUGCGCCUCAAAUGGAUAACCUCCGAAGUAUAGAGCCCAUGGGCACCUAUAUAUAGUCCUGAGAAAUGUACAACAUGCUUUCUGAACUUGUCCAGAAUGUGGCUAAAAUGAUGCGCUGAGAAGAGCAGAGCAACAAAUAAUGGAAAAUUAGUAUUUUAAACAGCAACACUAUCCAGACUAAGUUACCAUUCAAUGGAUCCUGAUUUCCAGGGAUAUCAAUGCGACUAAAUGUUGUUGAUCCAGACAGUGGUUGAUGAUUUCGAGCCUGAUUAAGUGUGAGAUUUAUCAAUUCACCAACAUCCUUUAGCACCUGCUCAUUGAGACAAUCCUUAACUGCUCAGUUUGUCAUUCAGAAAGCUUCAAAGAUUCACAAGCAAUAGAUGGAUAACAGUUUGUAGCCUAACCUUCAUAGGUAUCCGCCCCUUGCCAAUGAACUUUGCAAGAUCAAGCAUCACAUGGUCCACGCUGCGCAGACCUUGAAGCUUAGCCUUUUUGUUAGGUGAAGUAUUUCCGUCACCACCAGCUAUGCGUUUGUUGUCAUCUUCCUCCUCUACAGUAAAGGUAAAUGACAAGCGGCCCCGUUUCUCUAGCCUUGCUGGGACCCGAAGCAGGUCCUUUGGUUGGGAACCAGGGGAAAAUUUUGACACCAAGCUUCCAACAACUACCUUAACUGCAAUUUGACUCUGCUCUUCGCCAUAAGGAAUUCCAUUAUCAGCAUUCAAUACAAUAUUGUCCUCAUCAUCAUUUUCAUCUUUAACUUCAUCAUCAGCAUCAGUACUUUCUAGCUCAAUGUCCUGUUCUUCAUCUUCUUCCUCAAUUAUUUGUUCAACGACCUUAGAUAUAAGAUCCCUGUCAACCUUCCCUGGUGCAGUUACUUUCAGAACUUUGACCUUCACACCAGGGAUCAGGUCUCGCAGGGUAUUCUCAAGACUAGAGUCAUCAUCCCUCUCAUCACUAUCCGUUGAAUCCUCAGCAUUUUCUUCCAACAGGCCACUUCUGUCCUCAGUUGAACCGAGAGAAUCAAAGUUACUGGUACCAGUUGAUGUUUUGAAAGGAGGAAUAGGAAAAUCCAACGGAGCUUUCCUCCGUUUCAAGUAAACAGCCUGACAUGCAAAUUAAAUUCCCAAAAUUACAUGUGAAAGAAACAAGAUAUCUCACUAUCAAAUUUAAAUAUUACAGAAGACCCAAAUCUAUCUACAUGCUUCAGGAACAUGUUUAUUGAACUGAACAAUGGCUAAGAAGCUGAAUAUCAAGUGAAGAGAAGGGAAAAAGGUAUGGCAUCCUCUUCGACUGCAUGCAUGUUUCUCAAACAGACACAAGAAAACUAAACUACUGUUCUCCAGCCUUUGAUGAAGCAUUAAUAUCAAAUGCUACCAAACUUGCCCUAGUUAUCCACUUAGUGGAGUAGAUUUAGGCAUAGAAUGCAUAGUUGCCGGUUUCCUAUUAUUCAGUGGAAAAAGAUCACAUCAUCUGUCAGAACCACACCCCAAGCAAAUAACAUUCAGGUUUAAAACAACCACAAUACUCGAUGAGUAUCAUUGUGUAAACAAUAAGCUAACAUGGAAGUAAAACAAAAUUUUAUCUUCCUCCCUGCAUGUGUCAUGCAUGCUGAUAACUCCAUGAACACAUUUCAUUCACCAAAUUUUAGCUGGUAAAGAAAGGUACCUGCUGUUUGUAUUCACCCUUCUUAUUCAUGGUAAAGAAAAUCUCAAAUAAUGGGGCGCCAUCCUUGGCUGUAGCAAGCUGCCUGACAGUAGAAAACAUGAUCCCAUCAACAUUCUCAUACUCAAUGAGUGAAAUAAGCUAAAGCAAGCUUAAUAGAAGAGUGGUUAAUAGGACAGUGAUCAACAGAACCAACGAUCCAAGAAAGGGAUUAAACAGAAAACUAUAUCACCAUUAGAUUGCUUCCUGCAGCUCAAAGGCUGGAGAAAGAGUGCAUAUUGACUGCUUACUAAGAUCAGAGUAGAUAACAAUGAAAAAAUGUGCCUUAAAGAGGAAUGGUCAGACAGAGAUCCUGCAUCAACCACUUUUAACAUCCUUAGAAUUGCCAGCAUCAAUCAGACAAUGGACUCUAUGCUCUACCAAAAAAGUCCAUUAUAUGGAUGUGAACUACUUUGGACAUCCCUCUGGAAAAAAGGAUUCUACUGGUUUAACUUAGCCAAAUACCAGGCUGCUCUCAAUACAUUUUAGACAAUUAGAUUAGUUUUGGGUUACUAUUAUUUCCAUUUUUUUUGGGGGUUUGGGGUUUUUUUGGGGGGAGGGUGGAGCAGGUUUUUACUUGUACAUUAUUGACUACUCCAUUAGCAUCUUCCACAUAAAAUAGCCAAUCAAACAGAGAUCUAAACUAAUAAGAAUGUCUAGGCAUAAAAUUGCAAACUUCAACUCUAAAGGUGGUUUACCGUGGACUAUAACUUCUAGCAACAUAUCGCCCAUGCUCUGCACUUAUGUGAAUAAUACAACCAUAAGGAUCAUGAGUAUCUUCUGAAAUACCAGCCCACCACCCCACCUGAAAUAGCAGGUCCAGUCAAACCACAUUACAAAGGACAGAAAGCAAUACACAUGCAGGACAAAUAUAGCAUGAGCUAUUAACAAGAAGCAACAUCGCUAAGAACUCACAUUUGCUAGGGUUAUCGGUCAUGUAAGAAACAGCCUGAAACACAUAUAUUCAUGAGUGAAUUCAACUCCAUAUGAGACACCAUUGUUCAUACCCGAGAGAUUGUUAUCAAUGUGACAAAAAGGACACUUGGCUGAUGAUGUUCUCCUAAUAACCUAUUUUCAGAUUUUUCGUUUCUUUCUUCAUGGUAUUUUCCUUACCUAGAAACUUCCAAUAUUAGGUCUGCAGCAACUCAGGACAAGACCAGACUUGGUUCCGGAUCUGGAUGUUUCAAGUGAUUGGCUCUUAAUACAGGCCCAUCUACUUGCCAAGAUCCACACCCUCUUUUCUAAAAUUGGCAUGAAUAUGCUGCUCGCUGACGUAAAUCUCAAGGUGGAUAAAGACCUUUUUAUAAAAUCAGCUUUCCAUAUAUUUCUGUAUGAAAGAGAGUAUAUUUACCCGUGUACAAGUGUAUGCACAAACAUAGGACAAUUGUCCAACAUACAUGACAUGUGCGAGCAAGGUUCAGUUAGGUCCAUGAUGGGUCCACCAUAUUCACUGCUUAGGUGAAUUGGUCAACAUCUUGAUAUGUAAGCUGCAGAACUGGUUUGGGAAUAGGCAAAAUGCAGCAUAGACUAACCCAUUGAAAAACCUUUUAAAUAGGAUUGUAGAUUGCAUAUAAUAUGGACAACAGACUCAACAAAUUACAGUUCUAAUACUCCCAAGUGCUACUCUAACUUACCAAUCCAGCACCAGCAUAAUCACGUAGAAGAGCUGCAUCUCCAUAGCGCUCUUCCUGCACAGCUCUCUGCAUCAUGCUCCACAAAUCAAAGAGAGAUAGUGAUAACUUAUUGUCGUGAAGGCAAAAAUUGAAAAACGAGACAUAGAUGAACCAACAUACAAAAUAAAUGACACUUGGACAAAAAGCAACAGCAAAAAAAAUUCCUACAUUCAGGUGUGACAUCGCUUUGGCAAUUGUAUCACUUGUAGCUGCAGCUGCAAUUGCCACCUUAAGCCUGGCAGCAUCCUCGUAAUCCUCUCUAUUGAUAGCACUAGCUAGCUGAGACUGUGCAGAUUAAUUGGUGUCAUCAUUAGCAAGCAUACCAUGGUUAACCAAAAUAGCCUUCAAAAUUGCCACAUAGACAGAUAAAAUGACUGACACAGCAUAAAUGAUUGCAGAAAUAAUCAGCAUGAUGUUUAAAUGCUGAAAGUCUCUGCUCUAAUUGGGAAAAUUUUACCAACUAAGUUAUAAUCCAUCUUAAAAUUACCAUAAAAACAUCCUUCGGAAUCCCACAGCCAUUUCAAGGACGACAAAGACAACAUCUUCACUCAAAUACAAGAGUGUAUGGAAAAGUUUAGAAAAAGGAAAAACUUAAAUCCCAGAAAAGUGUUGAUUAUAUGGCAAAGUUCAAAUGUUAGAUCAAAUAUAGAAUGUAAAAAUUUAUUUUGCUGCUUUAAGUAUUCUCUAACCCCCAAGCCUUGAAGUUUUGGGGGAUGAGAUGACCUGUUAAAAUUUACUUGACACCUAAAAGGAUUAUAAUCAAGGUUAAAUCAAAGACAACCCCCUCUGAUGUUACUAAAUGUUUGAUGGUGUUGCAGUCUAGCUAUGGCUGAUUGCAGCUAACAGUUGCGUACUUCUAGCUCCAGGUUCUCAAAAAUCAGGGGCCACACAUGUCACAACCCAGUAGAGUAGUUAGGGAUGUCCCAUCCCAACAUUAUUUCCCACAGUAAGAAAAAUAAAGUGUAUUGAGGUAUCAUGGGCUUUGGAAAUGCAGAAAUGAGCUGUUGAGUAGAUGACAUGGUCUGUGGCUUUUAUUAGUAACACAAUAAUAGCAGCCCAUUCCUUCAACAAAACCUCAGUCACGAAAUUCUAUUUUUAAAGCUACACUCCCAGACAAAUCAAGCAGCAUAACAUCAAUGAAAGGGCCCCCAGUCAGCCAACAUUAUCUGCUGUCCCAACAUUAUUUCCCUUUGAAAGAAAAAGAAAGUGUAUUUAGGCUUCAAGGACUUUUGAAAUGCUGAAAUGAGCUGCUGCUUAAAUGACUUGGUUUGUGGCUUUUAUUGGUCUACAUGUACAAGAUUAUACGUAGUAACACAAUGAUAACAGCCCAUGCAUUUGGCAAAGUCUUGCUCACAAAUAUUGUACUUUUAAAGCUCCAUUCCCGGACAAGUCAAGUGAAUACCGUCAAUCAAAUCCCCCCCCCCCCAAAAAAAAAAACAGCUAACCUCUCAAGAACAAGUCAUUACUUGUAAGCUUAUAACAUUAGUACAAUGACUAAGAAAGCAUUCCCCACUGACACUGAAAGCGUAAAAGCAGCUUAAAAUGAUGAAUCCUAAUCAAUCAUGGAUAAUCAACAUACAGCCUAGAAAACCAUGAAGCCUCCCAAAGUUGGAUAUGUUAAGAUUUCAUGAUCCUGCCAAUCAAGAGCAGUAAGCAGAUGAAGAAAAUCAGUGCUCCCCAAGGACGAAAACUUAAGGUUAUAAAGAUCUUCCGGAAAGAACCCUUGUAAGUCUGAAAUGCAAGCUUCUCAUUUAAAGUAGGAUAAUAGUGAAAAAGCAUGAACGAGUAAGAGCAUACAUUUCAAGAGUAUUCAGGUAUAAGCAUUUACAAUUUGAAUUAAAUAAUGGUAAUCCAAUCACCUACGUGCUAACAACCAAGACAAUUUACUUCAAUCAGUAUUUAUUCUUCUACUUUUCCACCUCAAAUUUGUUUCGAAUUCAUAGUAAUCCUCAGGGAGAAAUUUUAUUCUAUUCUGUUGCACCCAAAAAGGAUGCAAAUAAUCAAGAUUUGAAAGAAGUCAGCCCGAUGAACUAGGGACCUAACCUCAGGCUGCUCACCCAAGUCUUACUAAUUUCUACUUUCAGAUAUUGGUAAUAAAGAAUCUCCCACACUUUACUAUGCUAGCCACCACAAGGGUUCCAUACCUACUAAUAUCUAUAAGCCAGUGCUUUUAAUGUUAAAAUGUUUACAGAAUCUAUUGAUCAAGCUACUAUGGAGCUCCUUUAAUGACAAGAAAAUUCCACCAACAAAAGAAGAUAUCAUCAACUAUAUUAUUAUUUGCUUAAUAUAAGCUUGACCCCAAAAUUUUGUUUAAUAAAAAGAAAACCAUCAGUUAUAUUCCCCGCCCAUACCGCAUCUGCCUCUACAGCCAACCAGGCAAUACAAAAAGCUAAAUCAGUCAGCUAGUAAGCGAUGCUUAAAUCCAGUUCCUUUUCACACUCCACCAUGGAAACUCACAUUAUCCCAUUAUGAACUGAUCUUUUCCUUGUAAUCACCCAAACACAUCUGCAUGCCACUCCUUUUACCGUAUAUCACAUGCAGCCUCUAACUUGUCAUACAAGUUGCAGCUCAACGUCCACUUAUUUUACUGGUAUUCCCACUUUGCCAACUACUCGGCGUAGGCUUCAUAUCCCACUCCCAGUGUCUUCUUUUUCCCAUUCAGUCAUGCCCUUCCUUUUUUGGAUGAACUACAAGUCCAAUACCUUAUAGAUAUUUUACCUCUAUUUAACCCGUUUCUAACUAGCAAAUAGCACCAUACAAACAAAAUCGAACACGUACUGCAAAUAUCAACUAUUUCGACCCAAAAAAAGGGUAAAAUUUCACAGACGAACCUUGAGAACGGAAACAAUCCGCUCUUGCUCAUCAACAUCACUGAAAUGCUUUCUCCACCGCUCCCAAUCCCAGUCUUCAAGCUCGACUCCACCAUAAUCUAUACCUCCUUUCACCCCACUACCAACUCUCACAUCCUGAUUCCAGAAUGAAUUCACAUAAUCAUCGAACCUCUUCAUCGUUUUCCGAAACACGUCCUGAAUCGCCGAGUCCCAUCCCCGAACCAACGAGUCAUCACCCUCGGACGGAUUAUCCGGAAUGCCACUUUUGUUGCAGCGGCAGAGCACAGAAUCAGAACGUGAAACCCUAGAGAGAGAAUGAUGGUGCGAGUUAAAGUUGGAGGAGGCGCGCUUUAGUCGAGAUGACGACGAGAAUACAGAGUUUGAGAAAUUGAGCUUGUGCGGGUUCGGAUCGGUUCUAGUCGACGGGGAAGGAAAAGUUGGCGGUGCUAUCGACGCCAUGUAAAAUAAUAAUAACUAGAAUCAGAUAGCAAAGGUGAGGAUGAUAAGAACGACGUCGUUAGGUACAGAAGCUACUACAGCAAUCGUACAAGCUUGUUGAUGCUAGACGAGAGAAAAGGGGAAAAGAGGCUAUCUGAAGACUGAAGGAGGAGAGGAUUAAGCUGAACAGUGCACAGGAAGUAAAAGUGGAUAAGGAAUUUGUUUUCUUCGUCGUACGCACACGCGUGUAUACAAAAUAUUGUUCAAAUCAUUUCUCACAUCAAAUAAUUUAAAUUAUUUUGUCCCUUCACUUUUAAAAUAUUAAUUUCACAUUUCUCAUUAAUUAAAAUCUACAAAAUAUGGUCCCAAUUUAAGUUUUGAUUAUUUUUUAACCAUGAAUUCAUGUAGGACUCAUAGUGAUCAUUUUUUAGAAGCAAAAAGAUUCGAUACCAUUUGCCGUUAAACUAAUGAUUCAGUGCAUAUUCAAUUAUUGUUCUAAAAUAGUGAAAUUUAACUCAAGCCCUAAAAUGGUAUGACUUGACUUAAUCCAUAUUCAUUUUUUCCUAUAAACAAGUGAGAUCUGACCUUUUUAUACCUACAAAACAAUUAUAUAUGAGUCACGUGGCGAUUUCAAAUUUAAAGGUGAUUCGAAAUCUAGAUUGUGACCAAAAUUUGUCAAUUUAAAUUUAGAAGAGAUAUAAAAUUAAUAUUUUAAAACUGAACGAUGAAUAUAAAAAAAUGAAAGAUGAAAAAAAUUCAUUUGAUGAAAGGUAAACGAUUCUCUCUCUCUAUAUAUAUACAGACACGCUCUCUCUCGCAAGUGUUAUUUCUUUUUUUUUAUUUUUUUGGGAUGGGUUUCCUUCCAUCAUUUGCUCAUCUAUUUCAUUGUAUUUUUUUUUUUUCAAUUGAGGGGCCUAAAUGUUCAUGGUGGAUGUUUCUGAUUUGUCCAACAUUGACUCGACCGCCGAAUUGAUUUUGUGGUCGAGCAAAAUAGCAUAUUCCCAAUCCAACGACCCCAAAAUAGGUUCUGGCUAUUAUAAUCCUUCUUAUGCUGCUUGUCUACAAACAAUUAUAUGAGGAAAAAAAAUUAUCUUCACUUCAUUCGUCGGUUUUGUUCAGCAAUUCUUUGUCAUUUUCUAUUUUUUGCCAACAAUUACUUAUCACUAUAUUUGCACAUUUUUCAUAAAUAAAAUGAAUAACAUGGGCAAACACAGAUACUAGGUUAUCAAAUUCGAAGGGCUACCAUCAAACAUCCACGAGAUUACUAAUCAGAAGAGCCUAGGCUUAUGUUUCCAUACAUUUUCUUACAAAAGUAAGCAUGUUUUUGCAAAUAAAUCUAAUCCCCACAGUAACUUCAAAAGCCUAGGCUUACAGAAGAGCCUAGGCUUAUGAUCAACAAAAUUAUGACUUGCUGACUGGAGUUUAAGAUGUAACCGUUUGCAAAGACACCCGUCACUACCGCUCUAUCUAGUUACACCUAUGGUUCAAAGACUCGGCUGAGAUCGUGACGACUCGGCGGCGGCGUCACCAGAACGGAACUUUUCGUUUUGAUAUCGGGACGAAAUGAGUCCGAAAUAAUGAAUCAUCGAAAACUCGACCGAAUUAACGAGAAUUUGAUCAAAACGUCUCCCAGACGGAUAGAAACGGCCGAAUCACCUCGAAUUAGGAUCCGGGGCUGGAAUGGUUGUCAGAGCAACCGUUCUGGAAGGUGUAACACCAUUUGCACACGGUGUAACAUCAUCUGUAUAAGAUGUAACAAUAGAACAACAGUGAGUAAUACUAGAAUAACAUUUUUGUGGAUCCCACACGGCGUGAAAAUUGAGUUACAAGAAGUGAUUUGAGCCACACAAAUUUUUUUGACCUAAUCAUGGCCGUGAACCUUGACAACCGUUCCAGCCCCUCCUCCCUCGAAUCAAUUCAAAUUUUUAUUAUUUUUACUAAAUUUUUAUUAUUUUUAUUUAUCAUACUUUUUUACAAUUUUUAAAAUAUUGAAUAUUUCAAAAAUUUGUAUCUCGCCGAAACCGUGACCAAUAUAUGUGCCCGCUUUAUAAUGAAAUGAAAACUCGGAGAUUGGGUUCAACAACUUGAAACUCAGUACUCGACGAUGAAAUAAAUAAUUUAAUGCCAUGAACAUGAUCAGACACCAAGUUCCCGCAUCUUGAUGAUAUAAUAAAUGCACGAUAGUUGGCAAAGACGAAGUGUUUGUUUACAGGGUGUAGGAAUUUAGUUCAAAGCAUACAACUAAAAGAAGGAAACAGUUCCCUCUCGCUGCACUUAAAUUAAGAUGCAAUGUCACAAUGUAUUAUGUGCUCCUACGCAGCAAGGGAUCAGAAAUGACUUGGGGCUCAAAAUCUGGCUUCACAUAACGAGCAAGUAAAUAAGAAUACAUUUC
This 13876-nucleotide long non-coding RNA is filed under the name Coffea arabica (coffee). RNAcentral describes it as "long non-coding RNA (CARA_LNC001650)". The record is from RNAcentral. Lineage: Eukaryota; Viridiplantae; Streptophyta; Magnoliopsida; Gentianales; Rubiaceae.